CCGACAAGCGGUGGAGCAUGUGGUUUAAUUCGAAGCAACGCGAAGAACCUUACCAGGCCUUGACAUGCAGAGAACUUUCCAGAGAUGGAUUGGUGCCUUCGGGAGCUCUGACACAGGUGCUGCACGGGCUGUCGUCAGCUCGUGUCGUGAGAUGUUGGGUUAAGUCCGCUAACGAGCGCAACCCUCGUCGUAUGUUAUAUGUGUCAUACGAGACUGCCGGUAAAAGCCGGAGGAAGGUGAGGAUGAUGUCAAGUCAGCAUGACCUUUAUAUCCAGGGCUACACACACGCUACAAUGGUCUGUACAAUGGGUAGCCAAGCCGCGAGGCGGAGCCAAUCCUGAAAGCAGGCCUCAGUUCAGAUUGCAGUCUGCAACUCGACUGCAUGAAGCCGGAGUUGCUAGUAACCGCAGGUCAGCAAUACUGCGGUGAAUACGUUCCCGGGUCUU
RNAcentral lists this ribosomal RNA (446 nucleotides) under uncultured Anaerolineaceae bacterium. RNAcentral describes it as "bacterial SSU rRNA". It matches the Rfam family "Bacterial small subunit ribosomal RNA", at positions 921 to 1382 of the family's 1533-position model. The record is from RNAcentral. Lineage: Bacteria; Bacillati; Chloroflexota; Anaerolineae; Anaerolineales; Anaerolineaceae.